GAUGAACGCUGGCGGCGUGCCUAAUACAUGCAAGUCGAGCGAACAGACGAGGAGCUUGCUCCUCUGACGUUAGCGGCGGACGGGUGAGUAACACGUGGAUAACCUACCUAUAAGACUGGGAUAACUUCGGGAAACCGGAGCUAAUACCGGAUAAUAUAUUGAACCGCAUGGUUCAAUAGUGAAAGACGGUUUUGCUGUCACUUAUAGCUGGAUCCGCGCCGCAUUAGCUAGUUGGUAAGGUAACGGCUUACCAAGGCAACGAUGCGUAGCCGACCUGAGAGGGUGAUCGGCCACACUAGAGCGGAGACACGGACCAGACUCCUACGGGAGGCAGCAGUAGGGAAUCUUCCGCAAUGGGCGAAAGCCUGACGGAGCAACGCCGCGUGAGUGAUGAAGGUCUUCGGAUCGUAAAACUCUGUUAUUAGGGAAGAACAAAUGUGUAAGUAACUAUGCACGUCUUGACGGUACCUAAUCAGAAAGCCACGGCUAACUACGUG
This 497-nucleotide ribosomal RNA is filed under the name uncultured bacterium. RNAcentral's name for it is "partial 16S ribosomal RNA". It matches the Rfam family "Bacterial small subunit ribosomal RNA", at positions 28 to 507 of the family's 1533-position model. The record is from RNAcentral.